GGAGCUCCUGAGAAGAAUAUUCAUCUAUUCGCUGUCCAGUCAUGAAAGAUUUAUCCCUGGAAGCCUGUAGUCUGGUUGUACUGCCUGCUAUUAUGUGUUAACAAGCAUUACAGAUUUUCUGCAGAAGUUGGAAAGUCACAAUACGAGAAGUUGCACUCCAGCCCAAGGGCUGAGAAAUCGAAGGCAUCGGGGAAGAAGCGGUGGACGAGAGCACAGAAGGCGAGCCCAUCGGAC
Molecule: long non-coding RNA, 234 nt
Organism: Scleropages formosus (Asian bonytongue)
Lineage: Eukaryota; Metazoa; Chordata; Actinopteri; Osteoglossiformes; Osteoglossidae
Exons: 3
Source: RefSeq, a predicted model, not a curated record